UCGCCUCUCGGUCAAUCUCCACCGUUUCAGGUUUGCAGUCAACAAGCGCAUAAUAGGAGCGUUUCAGGUUUGCAGUUUCAGAGUGCCAACAUCCCGCUUUUACUUGCUUCAUGUUUGUAAUAGUUUCAUAUUUGCAGUUUGAUUCUAAACUACCCAAAUCUUUUCCACUGCAAUCGAUGACUGAUUUUCUUAGACAUCUGUAGAUGUCUCUUCACACCAUAUAAUCCUUGAUAAAAUUGCUUGGAUCUCAUUACAAACGGUUCAAAGUGAUUUAAUCUCAGAAUUUUAGGAUUAUGUUUUUUAAAUGUGCACGUGCUCCAUUAUGCACAUUUUGUGCUAUUUUCUUUGUUUGAUCAAUUCAUGGGUGUUGAAGCUCUGCUUGUUUCCAUGUUAAAAACUAGAGUUCAUCUAUUUAUUAAGAAAUCCUAGUUUUAUCAGUAUUAAUUUGGUCAAAUUUGAGUGCAUUAAAUUGGAACAGAUGGGAGUACAUAUUCAGAUGCUAUCAGAUAACAUCAUUAUACUUUGGGCAGGUAUAAAAACAAAUGAACAGUGGCCAGAAUUUCGAAUUUGAGCUCCAAAAAAAAUAUUAAUGGAUUUGGUGCCUGCGUCAGGUUUCAGGCUUGGAUUUGUCCGGACGAGCUCUCUACGACUGAUGAUCGGCUGGCUCCGGCGGCAUACGAUGGAAGAAUCUUGGCGACUAAUGUCCUCUGCAUUGUGAUUUUUUGGACGAUGAGUGUGUGUUUG
RNAcentral lists this long non-coding RNA (744 nucleotides) under Oryza sativa (Asian cultivated rice). RNAcentral describes it as "long non-coding RNA (OSAT_LNC001823)". Lineage: Eukaryota; Viridiplantae; Streptophyta; Magnoliopsida; Poales; Poaceae. The record is from RNAcentral.